Cinara cedri is the source of this 275-nucleotide non-coding RNA. The record is from the annotation of a GenBank genome assembly. NCBI's taxonomy places the organism in Eukaryota, Metazoa, Arthropoda, Insecta, Hemiptera, Aphididae.
AAAGACCUUUAAAUUGGAUUUAGGACACACCGCGCCGCCGCCAUCCCCGGGACCGAGAUUCGAUUAAUAUCCGCGAGACCGUUUCGACCGUCACGGUCGUAGGUAAGAAAUGUAUUUUGGACUGAAUGUGGAUUCUUGUGAUCGUGGGGAGGGAGGCCGUAAAAAAAAAAAAACUUUUUCGAAUAUAAUUAUGUUACAUUCGGACACAGGGAUUAUUUUUUGAUUGUUACUAAUGUUUGCAAUCUAAAUUAAAAUAUGAAAAAUGACCAGUUCAG